GUGGCAGAAUUUCAACAAAAUAUUGAAGAUGAAGAAUACAAAAUGAAUCUGUAGUCAAAGGUAAAAGAAAAUGAAAGGAGUUGGACAUGAAAGGUCUCCAUUUGGUCGUCGAUAUCAGGAAACACUACCGAAAAUGAUGAAAUUGUAUCACUUCAAUCCUGAGUGAAAUACACAUGAAUUUUGGGAACAACUUAUUCCAGAGAGAAUCCCACCUUCAACCUAAUGGGAAGGAAGUAGGAAGUAAUUCCACCACUGAGUAAAAGUUCAAAGCCUCAAAGUUUUACUUUGCGUUUACUGUGGGUUUUGGCUUGAGGAUCUCAGCAUAAAAGCAGCUCUCUAUCUCUUUGACAGGCAAAAACUCAACUAAGAGGAACAAUGACAUACAGAGAGAACUAUAAAACUAAACACAAAGGAAAGCUCUAUCGAUUUCAAGUGGCUACACGUUUUGCUGAGGCUCAACUCUGGUUUUGCCGGGCCAGGUCUCAGGACCUCAGCAUCACCUCCUGCCUCAGCCUGGUUGUUACCCUUUCUUCUGGGAGGCUUCUGCUUCCUAGACCUUGAGAAGGUCUGGCAGACACAGCUUAGGAAACUGCCAAAGCAGAGUGGUGGUGAUGCCAAGGAUGUCACUGCAGGAGAAGAGGGCCUGGGCUUCUGAGCCACCGAGAGCUCACAGGACUGGAUCUGACAUUCCUGAUGCAUCACACCGGAACCCUCUUCCUGCAGAUACUGUAAUCUGUCCUGUCCUUGAUGAUCUGAUUCCAUGCCAUCUGUCCAACUUCAAC
RNAcentral lists this long non-coding RNA (782 nucleotides) under Homo sapiens (human). RNAcentral describes it as "PREDICTED lncRNA (TCONS_00186244)". The record is from RNAcentral. Lineage: Eukaryota; Metazoa; Chordata; Mammalia; Primates; Hominidae.